Long non-coding RNA from Fundulus heteroclitus (mummichog), 120 nucleotides. RefSeq lists it as uncharacterized. The record is from RefSeq and is a predicted model, not a curated record. NCBI's taxonomy places the organism in Eukaryota, Metazoa, Chordata, Actinopteri, Cyprinodontiformes, Fundulidae. The transcript is spliced from 3 exons.
GUUUUAUAUAAAAAUCAGGAAACGUGUUAAGUGACCUGAAGAGAAAAGAGCAUUUGAAAGGGCCAAGGACUCUGGAGAGACUGUAAAAAUAGGAAUGGAUUUCCCUGAAUUUAGCUCCCU